This is a small nuclear RNA of Macaca mulatta (Rhesus monkey), 104 nucleotides long. The record is from Ensembl. NCBI's taxonomy places the organism in Eukaryota, Metazoa, Chordata, Mammalia, Primates, Cercopithecidae.
GUGCUCGCUUUGGCAGCAUAUGUACUAAAAUUGGAAUGAUACAGAGAUUAGCAUGGCUCCUGUGCAAGGAUGACACCAAUUCCAAAGCAUUCCAUAUAAGAAAU